This 1678-nucleotide long non-coding RNA is filed under the name Homo sapiens (human). RNAcentral's name for it is "HSALNT0108148". Lineage: Eukaryota; Metazoa; Chordata; Mammalia; Primates; Hominidae. The record is from RNAcentral.
CUUGAAGAAUAAGGAUUUUCUUAGAAGACAAAAGGAAGGGACAGGCAUCAAAAGCAGAAGGAAUAGUUCGACAGAGUGGGGAUGUGAAGACUCAUAGCCAUGUGAAUAAUAGGAGCCAUUUGUUAGCUGCCUCAUAUAACUGGUGUGGGGAUGGCAGGGGAACUUGGAGUCAGAAGAGAUGCACACCAGAAAGGCAUUAUCUAUCCCAUGAAGGCUUAUGGAGUUCAUUCUAAAAUAACUGAAAGCUUUUUGCAGUAAAGAAAUGAAAUAAUCAGAUUUGUAUUUUAAAUGUUCAGAAAAGACUGAAAGGAGUCAAGACUUUGCAGAAAAAGGCUUAGUUUGCCCCCACAAAAGUGAAUACUUCAAUUUUCAAAAUGUUACAGUUGAAGCAGUAAUUUCUAGCUAAAAGAUAACUCAAAGUUCAGAGCUUAAGAACAAGUAGUAUAGAUAGAAGCCAAGGGUAUGUGAGAUUGUCCACAAAGAAAAUGUAAUAUAAGGCCGAGCGUGGUGGCUUAUGCCUGUAAUCCCAGCACUUUGGGAGGCCACUGUGGGUGGAUCAUGAGGUCAGGAGUUCAAGACCAGCCUGGCCAAGAUGGUGAAACCCCAUCUCUGCUAAAAAUACAAAAACUAGCCAGGCAUGGUGGCACAUGCCUGUAAUCCCAGCUACUCAGGAGGCUGAGGCAGGAGAAUUGCUUGAAUGCAUGAAGGGGAGGUUGCAGUGAGCUGAGAUCGUGCCAUUGCACUCCAGCCUGGGCGACAAGAGUGAAACUCCAUCUUAAAAAAAAAGAAAAAAGAAAAUGUAAAAUAAGAACAGAAGGGAAUGAAAUCCUGGUGAAUAAUGCUAAAGGGUAGUUGCAGAAGCAGAAGCCAAAUACGAAAGCUGUGAAGGUUUAUCAAGAGAGAUGAAGAAUCAGAACAGAGAAAAAUGGCACAAAAAUUAAGGGAGAGAAUAAUUAACUUAGAUAUAGUUGUUAAUUCCUAAACUUUUUUUCAGAAACUUAAUGAUAUUUUACCUCAAGGAUCAUGAUAUAUACUUUUUUAUGAGUUCUAAUGUGCUUAUGUUAGUAAACUAGAAUAUAAUUUUUUAUUAUUUCUCACUAUCCAGAAUGUGUUCAAAAUACCCUACUGAUGUCAUACAGCUUUCAUUACAUCUUUUGCAAAUUUCAAAUCUUUAGAAUGAAAAAUUAUCUCUAAAACCAAAAUAUGAUGCCAUAUAUCUUAAAUUAAUCCAUAAACUGAUUUUUUUUUCCAGGAUUAAUUAUUCUUGACAAUACCCCUAUUUAUAUUGAAAUACACAUUUUGAGGUCAGAUGCAAAACAAAAGCUACCUAUAACAAUAUGUAUGCCUUAAAUACUGUAGAGGUUGUAAGUUAUCUAAUGGACUGAUAUUUGAACAAUAUAACACAUCUUGGAACGCCAUGCUCUUAGAGCACUAACUAGAGUUUGAAAUCUUUUCAUGAAAUCUACUUGAGUGGUGCUAAAGAUUUUAUGCAGAAAACUGAAAACAAUUUGCAUAUGGGAGUAACAUUCAUCAGCUAUAUUGUAAAUAUUAUUUGGAGGCAAUCAGAGAGAGACACUUUAAAAUUCCACAUCACUCUGGAGAACCUAAGGCACAGAUACAGAUGAUUUAUUAUGUUUUCAAAAAGUGACAAAAGGGAAUAUUAAUUCUGGAAGAUUUU